AUGUCUGGUGUGCCGGUGCGGGAGCAGCUUUUUAAUGUUUCAAUCUGCCACUACAACCAUCUCAAUCUGUUCCAUCAUGGCGACUUUUCAAGAAGUUUUGGGAGGACAUUUGAUCCAUCUAACUUAGAGGUGGCGGCACCAAUUCUGCUGGAGAGAAGUCAUGGCAAUAUCAUCUUUCUAACAAGCCGGGGAGAGGUGAGCUUAUACUCUUCAGGCCUACUUGAUCACGAUGCGACAUGGAGGUGGCAACUAUCGACAGGCGCAACAUGGUCCAACCUUCCAUCUCCAUCAGGGAUGACAGAGAAUGAUGUCAUCCCCACUCACAAAGCCUUCUCUCUGCACGCCUAUGACCCAAAGCAGGUGAUCAUCGCGGGCGGCGACCAGGAGGCCGUGGUGAUCUCUCCUUCUGGUGUCCUACUGGCGUCCAGCGACCUCCCCGCGCCGCUGACUCAUGCAUUAAUUCUCAAGGAUUUCUCUGGCGAUGGGCUGACUGAUUUCAUCCUGGUGACAUCCGGGGGAGUGUGUGGAUUUGUGCAGAUGAGGCGGCCCGGGGCGCUCUUCUUCGGCACACUUGUUGGCUUCUUGAUCGUUGCGAUCGGGGUGAUACUUGUUUCUCUGCACCUCAACUCGUCGAACAAUGGUAAACCAAGGUCUUCUUCGACCGACUACAGGUGA
This 675-nucleotide ribosomal RNA is filed under the name Triticum aestivum (bread wheat). Its description in RNAcentral is "partial small subunit ribosomal RNA". Lineage: Eukaryota; Viridiplantae; Streptophyta; Magnoliopsida; Poales; Poaceae. The record is from RNAcentral.